This 257-nucleotide ribosomal RNA is filed under the name uncultured bacterium. RNAcentral describes it as "partial 16S ribosomal RNA". It matches the Rfam family "Bacterial small subunit ribosomal RNA", at positions 793 to 1055 of the family's 1533-position model. The record is from RNAcentral.
GUCCACGCCUAACGAUGUCAACUAGGUGUUGGUGGGUAAACCAUUUAGUACCGGAGCUAACGCGUGAAGUUGACCGCCUGGGAGUACGGCCGCAAGGUUAAACUCAAAGGAAUUGACGGGACCCGCACAAGCGGUGGAUGAUGUGGAUUAAUUCGAUGCAACGCGAAACCUUACCUACCCUUGACAUGUCCGGAAGCCCUUAGAGAUUUGGGUGUGCUCGAAAGAGAGCCGGAACACAGGUGCUGCAUGGCUGUCGU